AUUGAACGCUGGCGGCAGGCCUAACACAUGCAAGUCGAGCGGAUGAAGGGAGCUUGCUCCUGGAUUCAGCGGCGGACGGGUGAGUAAUGCCUAGGAAUCUGCCUGGUAGUGGGGGAUAACGUCCGGAAACGGGCGCUAAUACCGCAUACGUCCUGAGGGAGAAAGUGGGGGAGCUUCGGACCUCACGCUAUCAGAUGAGCCUAGGUCGGAUUAGCUAGUUGGUGGGGUAAAGGCCUACCAAGGCGACGAUCCGUAACUGGUCUGAUAGGAUGAUCAGUCACACUGGAACUGAGACACGGUCCAGACUCCUACGGGAGGCAGCAGUGUGGAAUAUUGGACAAUGGGCGAAAGCCUGAUCCAGCCAUGCCGCGUGUGUGAAGAAGGUCUUCGGAUUGUAAAGCACUUUAAGUUGGGAGGAAGGGCAGUAAGUUAAUACCUUGCUGUUUUGACGUUACCAACAGAAUAAGCACCGGCUAACUUCGUG
RNAcentral lists this ribosomal RNA (484 nucleotides) under uncultured bacterium. Its description in RNAcentral is "partial 16S ribosomal RNA". It matches the Rfam family "Bacterial small subunit ribosomal RNA", at positions 30 to 507 of the family's 1533-position model. The record is from RNAcentral.